UCCCAAAGAGGGAGAAGGGGAAUCAGGAAAGACUCAGAAAAGCACGGUGGACACAGGACUGGAUAAGACUGGAUCUGUCGCAUCGCGCGCUUACAAGACACACGUGCACAUACACACACACACACACUGGGUGUUUGGUGUCGGUGACGUCCAUGUCUUCAACACUUUAGGAUUAAGAUGCAUCAUUUAAAUCUGGUUUAAGCCAACGUGGCAUUCCAUGCAUUCUUCAUUCAUGGAAAAUAAAAAAAAUAAAAAGAGAGAAAAACAAAGACAGAUAUUUUUCAGCAUGCAUGCGAUCAACAACGGGACUUUUUCUUUGAACAAAGGAACGAACACACACACACACACACACAGCGUUCACAUCCACAGCAGAAGAACUUGUGGCGACUCUCUCUCUCUCUCUCAAAGAGUUCGGUGUUAACGUGCAUGCCUUGUGGUUAUAACACCAUCGUUUUCCUGUAGUGCCCUAUCACACUGUCCUUCACUCUGUCUGCAGCAACAACAGCGGGAAAUAUUGGACCAACACACACACACACACAGGCCCCGAAACCACAAGUUGAACAAACUCCCCUCACGCCACCAUCUUGUAUAUUUCAUGCACUUUCGACCAGCAGAGAUGAGUGGAGUCGACGGAAGGAAUUGAUUGGUUGCUCGCUAUUUAUUGAAAAAAAAAGAAAAGAAAAUAAGGGUCGUGGUCCCUGUGUUGAAGACUUCUGUUUUAAGAUAGUGGAAAAAAAAUAACAACUGUAAAAAUCCAGGUUUUGAUUCUAAACAUCAAAGGUGACAACAAAAAAAAGAACACGAAAAUGCAGUACCGUCAUAGACCACUAGAGGUCAUGGACUCUGUUGUGAAGACCUUUUAUACGAAUGAAAACAAAAAAAAAAUCCACUAAUAUCCAGGUAUUUAUUUCAAACAUAGGUAACUUUAAAAUAAUCACUGCUCCCCCGCAGUACCUCCAUAGACCGCUAGAGGUCAUGGACUUUAUUGUGAAGACCUUUUAUACGAAUGAAAAAAAAAACCCCACUUUUAUCUAGGUUUAUAUUUCAAACAAACUGUAGGUAACUUCAAAAUAAUCACUGCUUCCCCGCAGUACCUCCAUAGACCACUAGAGGUCAUGGACUCUAUUGUGAAGACCUUUGAUACGAAUGAAAAAAAAAACCCACUAAUAUCCAGGUAUUUAUUUCAAACUGUAGGUAACUUUAAAAUAAUCACAGCUCCCCCGCAGUACCUCCAUAGACCGCUAGAGGUCAUGGACUCUAUUGUGAAGACCUUUUAUACGAAUGAAAAAAAAAACCCACUAAUAUCCAGGUAUUUAUUUCAAACUGUAGGUAACUUUAAAAUAAUCACAGCUCCCCCGCAGUACCUCCAUAGACCGCUAGAGGUCAUGGACUCUAUUGUGAAGACCUUUUAUACGAAUGAAAAAAAAAACCCACUAAUAUCCAGGUAUUUAUUUCAAACAUAGGUAACUUUAAAAUAAUCACUGCUUCCCCGCAGUACCUCUACAGACCACUAGAGGUCAUGGAUCCUCUGUUGAACCAUUCACACAUUCUCCUCUAACCAUUUCAUACCGUAAACACAGUCCACUGUGAAUCUAAUGUAGCCAGACUGAGGGACACUGUGUUGUUUCUUUCAUUUUUGACAACUUUGUAUUUUGAUUUUUUUUUCUGAUGUCAGAGCAAAAAAAAAAAAA
Molecule: long non-coding RNA, 1691 nt
Organism: Cynoglossus semilaevis (tongue sole)
Lineage: Eukaryota; Metazoa; Chordata; Actinopteri; Pleuronectiformes; Cynoglossidae
Exons: 2
Source: RefSeq, a predicted model, not a curated record